Long non-coding RNA from Neofelis nebulosa (Clouded leopard), 849 nucleotides. RefSeq lists it as uncharacterized. The transcript has 5 exons. NCBI's taxonomy places the organism in Eukaryota, Metazoa, Chordata, Mammalia, Carnivora, Felidae. The record is from RefSeq and is a predicted model, not a curated record.
UCUGUCUGGGAUGUCUCAUAGGCAUCUCAGACGCCAAGUAGAAGUUUGGGAGCCACUUUAGCAGCUGUAUUCAGCCACUUCCAUUCCUCCUUUACUCCAAAAUAUACCUCAGGUCAGUCAAUUCCUGUAGGGAAAAUUCUGCCUUUUGUAAACAAAGUCUAGCUGUCACUGGACGGAGAAGCCAUGUCUCUGAUUCCAGAGACAAAGCCGUGCUCUUUGACAAGAUUUGUUUCACUGGAGACUCAAUGAUAACAAAAAAGAAGUAAACGCGGGUCAUGCUGUGACACAAGAUACCGGGUGGGCUUUUCUCUUUGAGGCCUGCGGACCCCGCCUCAUCCCGGCCUCCGCUUCUGUAUCCCCCUCAUAGGCAUUAUCUCAGCACUUGCCAAGCAGAGUAUGUGCCCAGUCUCCUUGCUUCCUCAAGUCUCCACCCAGACAGCUGGAGCUAAAGACUGGCUGACCAGAAGGAGCAUUUUAUGAACUUCGACCUUCCACCUAUUCUUCUGCAGGAAGAUAAAUAAAGAGGACUUCUAAGGAGGAGCAGCAGAGAGCCCGGGUGCUGUCUGUGGGGAGAACUUUGGGACAAAUAUGCUUCUCUGAUGUCCAUUAUCUCAUCUGCUUCCUGCAACAUCCCUGUCAGACGGAUAGGACGCAGGGUUUUAUCCCCAUUUUACAGAUGAAGAAGGACUGCAGACAUGCUACCCAUUCCCCUACCUCAAAUGUCAUCUUCUCCACGAAGCCUUCUUCGUCAACCCACACGAGGCCUCAAAGUUCUUUGUGGUGUCUCUCUUGUCUCACUUACUGUGUUCUGUGUUGUUUUAAUAACUCCUGGGUCCCAUGUCCCAUGUC